RNAcentral lists this long non-coding RNA (1358 nucleotides) under Nicotiana tabacum (common tobacco). Its description in RNAcentral is "long non-coding RNA (NTAB_LNC004629)". The record is from RNAcentral. Lineage: Eukaryota; Viridiplantae; Streptophyta; Magnoliopsida; Solanales; Solanaceae.
GAUUUGGAGCAUCCGGAGGCCGAUUCGAGAGGCAAAGGCAUUGCGUUUGGACCGGAUAGAGGUGAGUAAUGAUUGUAAAUGUUGUCCUGAGGGUAUGAAACCCCGGAUUUCACAUCAUCGUGCUAUAUUGAGGUGACGCACACGCUAGAUGACGAGCGUGGAGUCGUACACUAUUGGGGAUUAUGACUUAGUCCAUCCCGAAUUACUGUUUUACUGCGUAAUUGAUUGAAAACUGUUUGCUAUCAUCAUGUUUUGGACUGAGUGCCAUAUUUGGGACUCGUGCCAACUGUUUUGGACCCUUAGAGGAUUUUUACUACUAUUCCUUACUGUUUUGAGUUUAUACUUGUACUCAGUCAUGCUAUAUUCUACUAUUUUUAUAACUCAGCCAUAUUUAUAUUGUUUUGACAUCUUAAAUGAUAUUUUGAGCUGAGCAUUUACAUUUUACUGUGCCCGAGUGGCUUUUAGAGAUUUCUGACUGAGUAGGGCCGAGGGCCUGUGUUGUGAGGUUAUUAUGGGAUCGGACUGCGCACCGUAGCGGUAUUGAGCUGAUUCAUGAUUAUGAGGCUGAGGGCCUGAGUUGUACGCCACAAGGUGGCUUGAUAUGUGGCCAAGGGCCUAUUGAUUAUGCCACGAGAUGGCUUGAUAUUGCGCUUGGGCCGUAAGGGGCCCCUCCCGGAAUCUAUACACCCCCAGUGAGUGAGGGUACCCAGUGUGAUAUGUGAUAUAGCCCGAGGGGCUGAUGUUGUUCCAUGUUAUUGCCCGAGGGGCUGAUUCUGUUGAUAUUGUGCCCGAGGGGCUGAUUUUAUGUGCUUACCUUUUCUCGCUGCUUUUCAUUCACUUGUUUAACUGUUAAAAGAUAUUUUAAAGAAGCUUAUACUGAACUAAGGUGUUUUAUGAGAUUUCACUGUUUUAUUGCUUUGCAAAGGUUUUUCACUGUCUCUUUGUAGCAUUUUGAUGUGUUUUCUUAUCGUCCAGCCUUCAUUUAUUUUUAUUACUCACUGAGUUGGCGUACUCACAUUACUCCAUGCACCCUGUGUGUAGAUACAGAAGCCUCGGGUCCUGCUAGUGAGGGUUGACUGCUUCCAACGGGCUAUUUUGGAGUUCACUAGGUAGCUGCUCGGCAUUCGUAGCCCAGUAUUUCUCCCUCUUAUCUUUAUUUUUCCUUGUACUAGAUUCUGUAAUAGACUGUGUAGUCCUUUCUCCAAACUCUUAGACUUAUGUUAGAUGCUCAUGACUGGUGACACCCCGAUGUCGGGCUGUGUUUAUUUCCGCAAAUGUUCUAUCUCACUUUUAUUUUGGGAUUUAUAGUAUGUUAAUAACUUAAAUUGAAUUUAUAUAUCUGUUUAAAUGGAUUGGGG